RNA transcript from Cercocebus atys (sooty mangabey), 1080 nucleotides. It is a transcript of the gene named telomere length regulation protein TEL2 homolog pseudogene, with no coding region annotated. Lineage: Eukaryota; Metazoa; Chordata; Mammalia; Primates; Cercopithecidae. The transcript has 2 exons. The record is from RefSeq and is a predicted model, not a curated record.
UGCCCGGGGAACACUCACCAGCAUCCCUGGCCUCCACCUCCCUGUCGCGCCAGUGGCACCCCCGCUUGUGACAACUGAAUGUCCCCUGGGCACAGUGGCCCGGGUUGAGAAGCCCUGCAGUGGGCGGUCGCCUUCCCGUGACGCCCAGGACUGUCCUGCAGGAUGGAGCCAGCACCCUCAGGGGUCCGACUGGCCGUCCGGGAAGCCAUUCAGACCCUCUCAUCUUCGGAGGAUGGCGGCCACGUCUUCAGCACUCUGGAGUCCCUGAAGCGGUAUCUCAGUGAGAUGGAGCCUGCAGCGCUCGCGAGGGAGAAGGAGGAGUUUGCCUCGGCCCACUUCUCGCCUGUCCUCAGAUGUCUUGCCAGCAGGCUGAGCCCGGCCUGGCUGGAGCUGCUGCCGGACGGCCGCCUGGAGGAGCUGUGGGCCAGCUUCUUCCUGGAGGGCCCGGCGGACCAAGCCUUCCUGGUGCUGAUGGAGACCAUCGAGGGCACUGCCGGGUGAGUGAACUGGGCCCAUUCCGGGGUUGCCGGUAAACUCAGAAGUGAUGAGAGUGGUUUAAAGGACUGGACCAAGAGCCCCUCUGGUUCCUGUGAGGGGCUAGAGAGAGCGCCUGCGCAUGGCUGAACCUCUGAACAGAAGAAGCGGUCUGUGUCCGUCUCCUUGGUGACAGGAGGUACCUGCCGUGUCUCACAAAGUCCUUCGCUUGCUCCUCGUCCGGCUGCGUCAGAGAGGGAUGGGGCGGGACUGUUCACAUCCCAGGUGGCAGAGGCAGCCUGCCAGCUGGGGGCGUCGCAGGUUUUCCAGGGGAAGCACAGCUGUCAUCACUGACACGUGUCCUGUGUGGACUCCCAGCCCCAGGUGGCUCCCAGGCUCAGCCUCAGAUCACACUGCAGUCCUUGCCAGGACGCUGCACCUUGAGAAGCUGGGUUUUCAGAGGUUGCUGUGAUCAAAGCAAGCCUUGAGUUAUCCGCGUCAGCAGCAGGGGAGGGGUGUCCAGUGAGACUCCAGGUUGGGGAAGCCGCUCAGGACCCUGAGAGCUCUCACACAGUAAUUGCAGAUAUUUAGGAAUGGAUUAACAGA